AGUGAACGCUGGCGGUAGGCCUAACACAUGCAAGUCGAACGGCAGCACAGUAAGAGCUUGCUCUUACGGGUGGCGAGUGGCGGACGGGUGAGGAAUACAUCGGAAUCUACUUUUUCGUGGGGGAUAACGUAGGGAAACUUACGCUAAUACCGCAUACGACCUACGGGUGAAAGCAGGGGAUCUUCGGACCUUGCGCGAUUGAAUGAGCCGAUGUCGGAUUAGCUAGUUGGCGGGGUAAAGGCCCACCAAGGCGACGAUCCGUAGCUGGUCUGAGAGGAUGAUCAGCCACACUGGAACGGAGACACGGUCCAGACUCCUACGGGAGGCAGCAGUGGGGAAUAUUGGACAAUGGGCGCAAGCCUGAUCCAGCCAUACCUCGUGGGUGAAGAAGGCCUUCGGGUUGUAAAGCCCUUUUGUUGGGAAAGAAAAGCAGCAGGUUAAUACCCCGCUGUUCUGACGGUACCCAAAGAAUAAGCACCGGCUAACUUCGUG
This 492-nucleotide ribosomal RNA is filed under the name uncultured bacterium. RNAcentral's name for it is "partial 16S ribosomal RNA". It matches the Rfam family "Bacterial small subunit ribosomal RNA", at positions 29 to 507 of the family's 1533-position model. The record is from RNAcentral.